Molecule: ribosomal RNA, 478 nt
Filed under: uncultured bacterium
Lineage: Bacteria
Description: partial 16S ribosomal RNA
Rfam family: Bacterial small subunit ribosomal RNA
Source: RNAcentral
GACGAACGCUGGUGGCGUGCUUAACACAUGCAGGUCGAACGGGAUUUAGUAAACAGAAGCCUCGGUGGAAGAUUACUAAUGAGAGUGGCGAACGGGUGAGUAACGCGUGAGCAACCUGCCUAUGACAGUGGGAUAGCCUCGGGAAACCGGGAUUAAUACCGCAUAAAAUCGUCGAAACACAUGUUUUAACGGUCAAAGAUUUAUCGGUCAUAGAUGGGCACGCGUCUGAUUAGCUAGUUGGUGAGAUAACAGCCCACCAAGGCGACGAUCAGUAGCCGGUCUGAGAGGAGGAACGGCCACAUUGGAACUGAGACACGGUCCAAACUCCUACGGGAGGCAGCAGUGGGGAAUAUUGCACAAUGGGGGAAAACCUGAUGCAGCGACGCCGCGUGAACGAAGAAGGUAUUCGUAUCGUAAAGUUCUGUCCUAUGGGAAGAUAAUGACAGUACCAUAGAAGAAAGCUCCGGCUAAAUACGUG